UAGGGAAUCUUCGGCAAUGGGGGCAACCCUGACCGAGCAACGCCGCGUGAGUGAAGAAGGUUUUCGGAUCGUAAAGCUCUGUUGUAAGUCAAGAACGAGUGUGAGAGUGGAAAGUUCACACUGUGACGGUAGCUUACCAGAAAGGGACGGCUAACUACGUGCCAGCAGCCGCGGUAAUACGUAGGUCCCGAGCGUUGUCCGGAUUUAUUGGGCGUAAAGCGAGCGCAGGCGGUUUGAUAAGUCUGAAGUUAAAGGCUGUGGCUCAACCAUAGUCCGCUUUGGAAACUGUCAAACUUGAGUGCAGAAGGGGAGAGUGGAAUUCCAUGUGUAGCGGUGAAAUGCGUAGAUAUAUGGAGGAACACCGGUGGCGAAAGCGGCUCUCUGGUCUGUAACUGACGCUGAGGCUCGAAAGCGUGGGGAGCGAACAGGAUUAGAUACCCUGGUAGUCCACGCCGUAACGAUGAGUGCUAGGUGUUGGAUCCUUUCCGGGAUUCAGUGCCGCAGCUAACGCAUUAAGCACUCCGCCUGGGGAGUACGACCGCAAGGUU
This 548-nucleotide ribosomal RNA is filed under the name uncultured bacterium. RNAcentral describes it as "bacterial SSU rRNA". It matches the Rfam family "Bacterial small subunit ribosomal RNA", at positions 355 to 895 of the family's 1533-position model. The record is from RNAcentral.